RNAcentral lists this ribosomal RNA (301 nucleotides) under uncultured bacterium. RNAcentral describes it as "partial 16S ribosomal RNA". It matches the Rfam family "Bacterial small subunit ribosomal RNA", at positions 509 to 807 of the family's 1533-position model. The record is from RNAcentral.
CAGCAGCCGCGGUAAUACGAAGGGUGCAAGCGUUAAUCGGAAUUACUGGGCGUAAAGCGUGCGUAGGCGGUUUGUUAAGUCUGUUGUGAAAUCCCCGGGCUCAACCUGGGAAUGGCAAUGGAUACUGGCAAGCUAGAGUGUGUCAGAGGAUGGUGGAAUUCCCGGUGUAGCGGUGAAAUGCGUAGAGAUCGGGAGGAACAUCUGUGGCGAAGGCGGCCAUCUGGGACAACACUGACGCUGAGGCACGAAAGCGUGGGGAGCAAACAGGAUUAGAUACCCGCGUAGUCCCUGUCUCUUAUAC